GUGCUCACUUGGGCAGCACAUAGACUAAAAUUAGAACGAUACAGAGAAGGUGAGCAUGGCCCCUGCUGCAAGGAUGACAUGCAAAUCUGUGAAGUGUUCUAUGUUUAA
Oryctolagus cuniculus (rabbit) is the source of this 108-nucleotide small nuclear RNA. The record is from Ensembl. NCBI's taxonomy places the organism in Eukaryota, Metazoa, Chordata, Mammalia, Lagomorpha, Leporidae.